This is a long non-coding RNA of Callithrix jacchus (white-tufted-ear marmoset), 1770 nucleotides long. RefSeq lists it as uncharacterized. The record is from RefSeq and is a predicted model, not a curated record. Lineage: Eukaryota; Metazoa; Chordata; Mammalia; Primates; Cebidae.
CUGGUCUUAGUCAGAGGGGAAUCAUCCAUCUCAGCAGUCAGAAACUAAGUUCCAGCUAGCCUCACCACCAUCACUUAAAGUGCCCUGGGGUCCAAUUUAGUUUAUUUAAACCUCAAAAUAGGACCCCAGAGCACUUUAAGCCAGAGGGCUGCAAUUACUGGACAAGUCCUGCUGCUGUGCUGGGCUCCAAGCUGGUGGUCUUGUGGUGGACACAACCCAGUGAAAUACUAGCUGGAGCGGCCAAGGGAGUGCUUGCGUCCAACUCCAGGCAGUACAUCUGGCAGCUCUGGGGAAAGAAGGUAGAGUGAAGAAGACUUGGUGUUGCAGCUUGGAUACCAGCUCAGCCACAGUAAGGGAUACAAACCUUGGAAGGCUUUACACAAGCAAAGGGCAGGUGAUCUAAGAGAAUCAUUGUUUUAAUUGAGAAAGAGACAUUUUCGACAAAGUUAUUAACAGCCAUGCUGCUUGAAUUCUGCUGAGAAACAAGAGAGAAGGAAAAUCCUGAAUAUCAAGAUGGUGAAAAACAUUCAUUCUCCAGAAAAAAAUUCAGGGACAUUUCAGAAAACUCAGAGGUCUGCAAUUUGCAGUUGCUACAAGGAGGUCUGGUUCCUUUAAGCAGAUAAUGAAGAAUUACACUGGAAAAAUAGGAUCUGGUGUUGCCUACCCUCAUUGUUAUAGAGGUCUCUGAGUGGACGUCCAACUUGUUAAUUCCCAGUGCUGAAAUCUGAGCAACCCACCAUGCUGGCUAAAACAGCGGCAUCAAGAUUCUUGGUGCUUUUCUGCCCGGGAGUCUCCAGUCUGGUUUCCCUCCUGAAUCUCUUCUUCAAUCAGCUGAAUGGGUGACUCUGCCUUCAUGGAGCUCCAAAUGCUGACCAAAAGGGGAGCCAGUCCCGUUUACUCUGCAUCGAGAACUGCUGUGCCAGGGCACUGGCAAAACUGCCACAAGCCACAAGAGUCGCACUGGCAACCCGUGAGGAUCCUCCACUGGAAUCUCCUGGUCUGUGAGCAACAAAAAUUCAUCUGAAAGUGUGGCAUCCUCUCCUCUGCACUUUCACUGGGAGCUACAAGCCUGAGCUACUAGUGAUCAGCCAUCUUGGAUCUCUCUAGAACUUUUCUUAACAAUUACUAUCAAAUAGGUGGGCUGAAUUAAUACACACACACACACACACACACACACACAAACACACACAAACCUACUUCUCUACAGCUUUAUCUCCUCUGGAGAGGGAGUGAAACAAGAGCUGGUAAAAACACCAUGAGAUUUCCUCCCAUUUAGAAUAUGCCUUUUUCUUAAUUGGGCGUUCCCCUAGUUGCUGUAGACCUCUGACUGCCUUUCAGAUUACUGAGGUUAUUUUCUCCUAGUUUCUUGUAGCGUUUGAUAUUUCCAUGACAAAACUGAGACUUUGGUUUUCCUAAUCUGACAUUUUGCUUAUGUUGUCUUUCAUUUUUAAAUGAUAAAUUUAGUUCCCUUUUAUUUACAGUAGUGACUGGUUUAUGUGAAUUUGUUUCUAGUAUUUUGUGUGUUUUCUGUUUUGAAUUUUUUAAAUUUUAUUCCCUUUUGGUUUUAUUGGAAGGAUUAAGUUUUUCUUACAACCACCACACUCCUUUUAUUCCUCUAGUGAUUGGAAGAUAUAUUCUAGUCUAAAGUGAAACAAUCCCUUCAAAAUCUUCCUGAAUGUGAUAAGAUACUUAGACCUUUUUGACCUCCCUCUAGUUACAUAUUGAUAUAUAAUAUUUGUGCUACUAUUUCAGUUUACCUUGCUUUUAUAA